UAAAUUGAUGUAUAAAUUUACUUGCGCAUAUCCCAAUUUUAAUCUUUUAUUUAAAUAGAUUAACUAUUAAACUAUUUUUAUAUAACUUUUAUUUAAUUAAUAAUUAGACUUAUAAAAAAAUAAAAUUUAUUGUAAAAAUAGUUUUAUAUCCGCAGCAUCGCACGGGUAUUUCACUAGUAAAUAAAUGAAAGUUGGGUUAAAUAUAUUAUAUUCAGUUUGU
RNAcentral lists this long non-coding RNA (220 nucleotides) under Ananas comosus (pineapple). RNAcentral's name for it is "long non-coding RNA (ACOM_LNC033790)". Lineage: Eukaryota; Viridiplantae; Streptophyta; Magnoliopsida; Poales; Bromeliaceae. The record is from RNAcentral.